UACGGAGGGUGCGAGCGUUGUCCGGAAUUACUGGGCGUAAAGCGCACGUAGGCGGAUUGUUAAGUCGGGGGUGAAAUCCUGGAGCUCAACUCCAGAACUGCCUUCGAUACUGGCGAUCUCGAGUUCGGGAGAGGUGAGUGGAACUGCGAGUGUAGAGGUGAAAUUCGUAGAUAUUCGCAAGAACACCAGUGGCGAAGGCGGCUCACUGGCCCGAUACUGACGCUGAGGUGCGAAGGCGUGGGGAGCAAACAGG
This 253-nucleotide ribosomal RNA is filed under the name uncultured bacterium. Its description in RNAcentral is "partial 16S ribosomal RNA". It matches the Rfam family "Bacterial small subunit ribosomal RNA", at positions 524 to 776 of the family's 1533-position model. The record is from RNAcentral.